Camponotus floridanus (Florida carpenter ant) is the source of this 1207-nucleotide RNA transcript. RefSeq lists it as uncharacterized. The record is from RefSeq and is a predicted model, not a curated record. The transcript has 4 exons. NCBI's taxonomy places the organism in Eukaryota, Metazoa, Arthropoda, Insecta, Hymenoptera, Formicidae.
UUCAAUUUUAAGGUGUUACUAUGGAGAUUCAACUUGGCGAUUGAUAGUCUGUUGAACAGAUGGGACUAUAUAGAUAUGUUUACGACGUUGUGUUGGCGGCUCCCUCCUCAAUGCUUAGUACCAUUCUGGACACUUUCAACUCGUUCCACACAAGGUUGCAGUUUACUAUGGAGGAGAGUGCCGACAAUCGUUUGAAUUUCCUUGAUGUCACUAUCAUUUUGGAGGAUGGAUUGAUUCAUUUUAAUUGGUUUCAUAAACCGACUUUCUCGGGGAGAUACCUCCAUUUUGAGUCGCGACACCCCCUUUGCCAGAAGAUGGAUUUAACAAUAGACUUAAUGAUGCUUUGACUAUAGAUAGAAAUGUGAGUGACGAUGUUAAUGAAGGAGUGAGGAUCUCAUAUUUUAAUGAUCCGUAUAUUAAUAACAUAUCUGAGCGUUUCCGGCUUUGCGUCAGAGAUCUUGAUGUCAAACUUUCCUACACUGGAAUAAAUAAUUUGCGCCGUUUUAUUAAAGUCAGCAAAGAUAAGAUGGAUAAAGACUCGCGCAGCAAUAUAGUUUACAAGAUCAACUGUGGAUUGCGACGCUUCUUACGUUAGACAAACAAGACGCUUAUUAAGGACGAGAAUUAAAGAACAUAAAAGGAACCUUACGUCCAUCAUUGCCGAGCACAGAGCGUUAGAACAUACAUUUGAUUUUGACGACAUUGAGGUUUUGGAUGAGGAAACAUUUUUAGGAAAGAGAUUAAUAUCGGAGAUGAUCUAUAUUAAGCGUCAAAAAAAUGCGUUUAAUCUCCAUAGUGACACCGUAAAAUUGAAUACUUCGUGUUUAUCGAUUAUUGAAAUCAUGUCUAAAAUUUAAUAGUUUGUUGUUUGUUAGGACUGUUCUUGUCCUCAGUGUAUACGGAUUGUUUUUGUCGAUCACACUAUGAUGUCAUUUUAUCGUUAGCAUUCGAAUCUUUUUGCUUAGUCGGCUAUGUGCGUGCUGAGUAUUCGUCUCCGUUUCUGAUUCGUCUUCUCGAGUCCAAUGCAUCACUCUUUGCGCCUUGCACCGCUUAAAGGGCUACUUGCAUUUGGUUUCCUUCGAGUCGACUUGCCUUGACGAGUUCACGUUCACUCUUUAAGACUAUGCAAGUUUGAUAACUACAUUUUUUCUCUCUUAUCUAUUAAUGACUGCGUUUUUAAUGUUAUUUUAUUUGCUUCUUUUUUGUC